Molecule: long non-coding RNA, 1471 nt
Filed under: Capsicum annuum
Lineage: Eukaryota; Viridiplantae; Streptophyta; Magnoliopsida; Solanales; Solanaceae
Description: long non-coding RNA (CANN_LNC017134)
Source: RNAcentral
AAAUAUUACUCCCAAUUUUAUUCCAUUAAGGAGGAUGGAUCUAUCCGUCUCUAUAAAAAGACCUCUUUGGUCAUCAAUUUGCACAGAUACUUGAGGUAUUCAGCAGCUUUGCAUCGAAUCAAAAAUCGGCAGCAAGGUAAUUUCUUUUCUCUUUCUUUGUGAUUUUCAUUAAUUUUUUUUUUGAAUUAAAACAGAUUGCGAUGUACAAUAAUCGGUUUAAGGUUCGAGAGUUUAAAUUCACCUUCAUUACCUUAAUAUCGAACAAUUUUUCUUGAUGUACAAAAAUCAUCUUGAACCAAUAGCAAAUAAAAACACAUUUGAUUUUGAUAACAUUGUUCCCUCAUUUCCGUGGAAUUAAUUUUUUUUCUUAUCUGCGAUGACGAAAUUAAGAAAGAAAAGGAGUUGACUUUUCUAACAUAAAAUGCUGAUGUCACACCCUUUUUUCCUUAAAUUAGUAAUAAUGGAAUAGUGCCAUUCCAUGGCCGCCUCAAGAUUGCCGCACCCUUUAUCCCCUUUUUCAAAUAUCCUAUAAUUGCCAACAAAUAAUUGGCUUUCUGUUAUAUUUACCAGUGCUUUCCUUUUCAAUUUGGGGUAUAAUUGGUCAACUUUAAUCCUUUUUAAAUUUUCCAGCAACCUUACCACUAGCACAUGUGAGUUCAAAAUAAUAAUUCUUUUCCAUUAAAACCCAACCAUGUCAGUACACAUCAAUUUUCAAGUCCAAAUAGGCAUAGGAUGCUUCCACCGCCUCUACUGUAAUCAUUUUUUUUUGAAGGAAAAUAUUACUCCCAAUUUUAUUCCAUUAAGGAGGAUGGAUCUAUCCGUCUCUAUAAAAAGACCUCUUUGGUCAUCAAUUUGCACAGAUACUUGAGAACCAAAAUGGAUUACAAGAAAGAAUUUGACCAUCUCAUUUGGUGAUUAGAAUUUUGACCAUCUUGGUGAUGGAAGUUCGUUGAAGUUAAAGUGAUAUAACAUUCAGAUUGCGAUGUACAAUAAUCGGUUUAAGGUUCGAGAGUUUAAAUUCACCUUCAUUACCUUAAUAUCGAACAAUUUUUCUUGAAGAUGGUGGAUAUCGGCAUAAUGUGCGAGAGUUAACUUUAUCUUCGUCAUCUUAAGAUCAAAAGAUUUUGCUUGAAAAUGGUGGACAUCAGCUUAAGGUGUGAGAGUUUAACUUUGCAUUCGUCACCUUAAGACCGAAAGAUUUUACUUGAAGAAGGUGGAUAUCGGCUUAAGGUGUGAGAGUUUAACUUCGCCUCGUUACCUUAAGACAGAAAGAUUUUGCUUGAAGACGGUGGACAUCGGCUUAAGGUGCGGGAGUUUAACUUUACCUUCGUCACCUUUAAAACUGAAAGAUUUUGCUUGAAGAUGGUAGACAUCGGCUUAAGGUACGAGAGUUUAAUUUCGCCUCCACCACUUUAAGACUAAAAGAUUUUGCUUGAAGAUACAAUGGUCUUCUUUAACUAUGGACCCUUUU